Molecule: non-coding RNA, 893 nt
Organism: Pantherophis guttatus
Lineage: Eukaryota; Metazoa; Chordata; Lepidosauria; Squamata; Colubridae
Source: RefSeq, a predicted model, not a curated record
CAACCUGGGGAACCUGCUCAGUACAUAACAGACCUUGCUUGGCAUACUGAGUGCCUAUGAAAUAUCACUAGAGGAAAUAGAAAAUGGCUUUCCUGUCAGUUUUAAGAUCCUGCUGUAAAGAAAAUGAGAAUUGAAAACAAAUAUAAGAAGAAAAGAUAAAUAGAUUUAACAGAGAAGAGAAAACUUAGAAAAAUAUAACUGGAUGGACAUGAUUUUGUAAAAGCGAGAAAGUAUGAUUGUAGUACGAUGGAGAAAAUGGCAGAGAGGAUUACAGCCGUCUUUGUGUCUUCACCCGUGAGACAUUUCCCUAGCAGACACAUGGAGAAUGCAUUGCAAUUUUUCAAUCCAGAAGUUACCAAAGCAUAUUUGAUUAUGCAUAUUAAGACUACUGGUCCGUGAAAGGUUGUAACCAGAGCACAAAAUGGAUGAGAAAGUGGAAGAGAGAAUAAACAAUAAUAAUCAAGAGGCUGCUCAGGAAAACACUGAUCUACUCAUGUAUUUUGGCGUCAUAUCGUCACCGCUACCGGCUCGGGGAAACCGGGCCAAACCGGGAGGAACCCACCACUGCUCUACCUCCCACCAUCAGUGACUCAACAACCAAUCCCAGAGGAAGCGUAGAACCAUUGUAACAUCAUAUAUUACACUUUGAAUCCCUGGAGAAAGUUUAGAAGGAUACUGCAAUCAAUGGUGUUGAAGGUUUCUCAUAGAUCAAAGAAGAAUAGGUGGUCAUAUUUCACCCAUUCUGGUCUCAUCACAGGUAAUCAACAAGAGUGAUCGGUGUGAUCAUGGUAUAACAGCUUGACUAAGAAAGUUUCACAGAGUCCUUUCUUCUGAGAUCUUCCACACCACAACCACUUUCUCAACAAGCUUAAUUAAAAAUGACAACUUAGAAA